This 497-nucleotide ribosomal RNA is filed under the name uncultured bacterium. Its description in RNAcentral is "partial 16S ribosomal RNA". It matches the Rfam family "Bacterial small subunit ribosomal RNA", at positions 28 to 507 of the family's 1533-position model. The record is from RNAcentral.
GACGAACGCUGGCGGCGUGCCUAAUACAUGCAAGUUGAGCGCUGAAGGUUGGUACUUGUACCGACUGGAUGAGCAGCGAACGGGUGAGUAACGCGUGGGGAAUCUGCCUUUGAGCGGGGGACAACAUUUGGAAACGAAUGCUAAUACCGCAUAAAAACUUUAAACACAAGUUUUAAGUUUGAAAGAUGCAAUUGCAUCACUCAAAGAUGAUCCCGCGUUGUAUUAGCUAGUUGGUGAGGUAAAGGCUCACCAAGGCGAUGAUACAUAGCCGACCUGAGAGGGUGAUCGGCCACCUUGGGACUGAGACACGGCCCAAACUCCUACGGGAGGCAGCAGUAGGGAAUCUUCGGCAAUGGACGAAAGUCUGACCGAGCAACGCCGCGUGAGUGAAGAAGGUUUUCGGAUCGUAAAACUCUGUUGGUAGAGAAGAACGUUGGUGAGAGUGGAAAGCUCAUCAAGUGACGGUAACUACCCAGAAAGGGACGGCUAACUACGUG